RNAcentral lists this ribosomal RNA (482 nucleotides) under uncultured bacterium. RNAcentral describes it as "bacterial SSU rRNA". It matches the Rfam family "Bacterial small subunit ribosomal RNA", at positions 28 to 526 of the family's 1533-position model. The record is from RNAcentral.
GACGAACGCUGGCGGCGUGCUUAACACAUGCAAGUCGAGCGGUAAGGCCCUUCGGGGUACACGAGCGGCGAACGGGUGAGUAACACGUGAGCAAUCUGCCCUCCACAUCGGGAUAACCCCGGGAAACUGGGGCUAAUACCGGAUACGACCACCGACGGCAUCGUCUGGUGGUGGAAAGUUCCGGCGGUGGAGGAUGAGCUCGCGGCCUAUCAGCUAGUUGGUGAGGUAACGGCUCACCAAGGCAACGACGGGUAGCCGGCCUGAGAGGGUGACCGGCCACACUGGGACUGAGACACGGCCCAGACUCCUACGGGAGGCAGCAGUGGGGAAUAUUGGACAAUGGGCGAAAGCCUGAUCCAGCAACGCCGCGUGAGGGAUGACGGCCUUCGGGUUGUAAACCUCUUUCAGCAGGGACGAAGCGCAAGUGACGGUACCUGCAGAAGAAGCACCGGCCAACUACGUGCCAGCAGCCGCAGUAAAAC